Molecule: ribosomal RNA, 532 nt
Filed under: uncultured bacterium
Lineage: Bacteria
Description: bacterial SSU rRNA
Rfam family: Bacterial small subunit ribosomal RNA
Source: RNAcentral
AAUAGAUACCCGGGUAGUCCACGCCGUAAACGAUGAGUGCUAAGUGUUGGGGGAUUUCCGCCCCUCAGUGCUGCAGCUAACGCAUUAAGCACUCCGCCUGGGGAGUACGGCCGCAAGGCUGGAACUCAAAGGAAUUGACGGGGGCCCGCACAAGCGGUGGAGCGUGUGGUUUAAUUCGAAGCAACGCGAAGAACCUUACCAGGUCUUGACAUCCCGCUGCCCGGUAUAGAGAUAUAUCUUUCCCUUCGGGGACAGCGGUGACAGGUGGUGCAUGGUUGUCGUCAGCUCGUGUCGUGAGAUGUUGGGUUAAGUCCCGCAACGAGCGCAACCCUUGAUCUUAGUUGCCAGCAUUUAGUUGGGCACUCUAAGGUGACUGCCGGUGACAAACCGGAGGAAGGUGGGGAUGACGUCAAAUCAUCAUGCCCCUUAUGACCUGGGCUACACACGUGCUACAAUGGAUGGUACAAAGGGCUGCAAGACCGCGAGGUUUAGCCAAUCCCAUAAAACCAUUCUCAGUUCGGAUUGCAGGCUG